Molecule: ribosomal RNA, 468 nt
Filed under: uncultured bacterium
Lineage: Bacteria
Description: partial 16S ribosomal RNA
Rfam family: Bacterial small subunit ribosomal RNA
Source: RNAcentral
GACGAACGCUGGCGGCGUGCUUAACACAUGCAAGUCGAACGGAAAGGCCCUGCUUUUGUGGGGUUCUCGAGUGGCGAACGGGUGAGUAACACGUGAGUAACCUGCCCUUGACUUUGGGAUAACUUCAGGAAACUGGGGCUAAUACCGUAUAGGAUCUCCUGCUGCAUUGUGGGGGUUGGAAAGUUUCGGCGGUUGGGGAUGGACGCGCGGCUUAUCAGCUUGUUGGUGGGGUAGUGGCUUACCAAGGCUUUGACGGGUAGCCGGCCUGAGAGGGUGACCGGCGACAUUGGGACUGAGAUACGGACCAGACUCCUACGGGAGGCAGCAGGGGGGAAUAUUGCACAAUGGGCGGAAGCCUGAUGAAGAAACGCCGCGUGCGGGAUGACGGCCUUCGGGUUGUAAACCGCUUUCGCCUGUGACGAAGCGUGAGUGACGGUAAUGGGUAAAGAAGCACCGGCUAACUACGUG